UUAAGUUGCUCUUUCUUAUGGCUCUAAAGAAGAAGAAUCUUUAUAGGCAUAAAUUUGCUAUCCGUUUACAUUGAUGGAAUGAUGAUGAUAUGAUGAAAGGAGCCGUUUGGGUCAUGAAAUUGGAAGAAUAAAGGCAAAGAAUCUCUUCUUUCAUCCGUCUUGAGCAUCAUAUAAACAAAGAGUGGUUACCAACUGCAAUGUUGGUGAACCUAAUCGGCAAUUUUGAGAUUCCAAAUUGGAGAGUUUGGUGAAACGUUGCUCUAAUAUGCUUCUCUUGAUCAAAGGCGACGAAAUUGGCUGAUGCAUAUGGUUUGUGUUUGUGUUUUCGGUUUCAAUCAGUUUUGGCAAGUUGACAAGUAAAAGAAGAUGAUAAGUUGACUUGUAAAAGAUGGCAUAAGGACAGGUUAAAGAAGGUGGCAAGUUGUAUCUUCUUUUGGUUCAUUUUGCUUUAUUUUGUUCAGUUUGUUUCAGUAUGACAAGUUAAACAAAUUUGAAUUUUCAAAAUAAUAUUUCAAUUUUUUUAAGAAACUUUUUACC
Camelina sativa (false flax) is the source of this 537-nucleotide long non-coding RNA. RefSeq lists it as uncharacterized. The record is from RefSeq and is a predicted model, not a curated record. NCBI's taxonomy places the organism in Eukaryota, Viridiplantae, Streptophyta, Magnoliopsida, Brassicales, Brassicaceae.